Long non-coding RNA from Aquila chrysaetos chrysaetos, 293 nucleotides. RefSeq lists it as uncharacterized. The transcript has 2 exons. The record is from RefSeq and is a predicted model, not a curated record. NCBI's taxonomy places the organism in Eukaryota, Metazoa, Chordata, Aves, Accipitriformes, Accipitridae.
CACAGACUGGAACUGCCCUGCCCAGCACACGCAGGUCUCGUGCUGAAAAGCAACCCGCUCCCUUCGCCUGCGCAAAGGGGACGGCUUUGGGACAGCCCUCUCUCCUACAAUAACUUUAAAACCCCUCCCUGCAAUUCCCAGAUUCGUCCCUUCCUCCCAGCCUCUCCCCAGCCCUGGUCCCUCAACUUAGCUUUCAGAGGGCCGAGGGGCUGAAUCCAUCAUCCAGAAAAAUCACACGGGCUAACUGGGAUAUUCCUGCAGUUGCCAGGCUCCUCUUCGUCAUCUGCAGGGAA